This 499-nucleotide ribosomal RNA is filed under the name uncultured bacterium. Its description in RNAcentral is "bacterial SSU rRNA". It matches the Rfam family "Bacterial small subunit ribosomal RNA", at positions 28 to 516 of the family's 1533-position model. The record is from RNAcentral.
GAUGAACGCUAGCUACAGGCUUAACACAUGCAAGUCGAGGGGUAACGAGAGGGAAGCUUGCUUUCCUUGUUGACGACCGGCGCACGGGUGAGUAACGCGUAUCCAACCUGCCCACAACUAGAGAAUAACCUUGCGAAAGUAAGACUAAUGCUCUAUAAUUUCCUUAGAUGGCAUCUGACGAGGAAUAAAGAUUUAUCGGUUAUGGAUGGGGAUGCGUCUGAUUAGCUUGUUGGCGGGGUAACGGCCCACCAAGGCAACGAUCAGUAGGGGUUCUGAGAGGAAGGUCCCCCACAUUGGAACUGAGACACGGUCCAAACUCCUACGGGAGGCAGCAGUGAGGAAUAUUGGUCAAUGGGCGCAAGCCUGAACCAGCCAAGUAGCGUGCAGGAUGACGGCCCUAUGGGUUGUAAACUGCUUUUAUACAGGGAUAAAGUUAGCCACGUGUGGCUAUUUGCAGGUACUGUAUGAAUAAGGACCGGCUAAUUCCGUGCCAGCAGCC